This 73-nucleotide transfer RNA is filed under the name Stentor coeruleus. It matches the Rfam family "tRNA". Rfam says of the family: Transfer RNA (tRNA) molecules are approximately 80 nucleotides in length. Their secondary structure includes four short double-helical elements and three loops (D, anti-codon, and T loops). Lineage: Eukaryota; Ciliophora; Heterotrichea; Heterotrichida; Stentoridae. The record is from Rfam by way of RNAcentral.
UCAGAAGUAGCUCAGUUGGUAGAGCACCAGACCCUCUAAGCCGGUGACCUAGGUUCGAAUCCUAGCUUCUGAC